ACCCGCUGAACUUAAGCAUAUCAAUAAGCGGAGGAAAAGAAACUAACAAGGAUUCCCCUAGUAACUGCGAGUGAAGCGGGAAAAGCUCAAAUUUAAAAUCUGGCGGUCUGUGGCCGUCCGAGUUGUAAUCUAGAGAAGCGUUACCCGCGCUGGACCGUGUACAAGUCUCCUGGAAUGGAGCGUCAUAGAGGGUGAGAAUCCCGUCUCUGACACGGACUACCAGGGCUUUGUGGUGUGCUCUCAAAGAGUCGAGUUGUUUGGGAAUGCAGCUCUAAAUGGGUGGUAAAUUCCAUCUAAAGCUAAAUAUUGGCGAGAGACCGAUAGCGAACAAGUACCGUGAGGGAAAGAUGAAAAGAACUUUGGAAAGAGAGUUAAACAGUACGUGAAAUUGCUGAAAGGGAAACGCUUGAAGUCAGUCGCGUUGGCCAGGGAUCAGCCUCGCUCUUGCGUGGUGUACUUCCAGGUUGACGGGUCAGCAUCAAUUUUGACCGCUGGAGAAGGACUUGGGGAAUGUGGCAUCUUCGGAUGUGUUAUAGCCCUUUGUCGCAUACGGCGGUUGGGAUUGAGGAACUCAGCACGCCGCAAGGCCGGGUUUCGACCACGCUCGUGCUUAGGAUGCUGGCAUAAUGGCUUUAAUCGACCCGUCUUGAAACACGG
This 657-nucleotide ribosomal RNA is filed under the name uncultured fungus. RNAcentral describes it as "LSU rRNA". It matches the Rfam family "Eukaryotic large subunit ribosomal RNA", at positions 23 to 664 of the family's 3401-position model. The record is from RNAcentral. Lineage: Eukaryota; Fungi.